GACGAACCGUGCGAACGUUAUUCGGAAUCAUUGGGCUUAAAGGGCGCGUAGGCGGCGGUGUAAGUUGGAAGUGAAAUCCCAUCGGCUCAACCGUGGAAUUGCUCCCAGUACUGCAUCGCUCGAGGGGGAUAGGGGUUUGCGGAACUACCGGUGGAGCGGUGAAAUGUGUUGAUAUCGGUGGGAACGCCAGUGGCGAAAGCGGCAAACUUGACCCUUCCUGACGCUGAGGCGCGAAAGCUAGGGGAGCAAACGGG
Molecule: ribosomal RNA, 254 nt
Filed under: uncultured bacterium
Lineage: Bacteria
Also listed under: 1 other name
Description: partial 16S ribosomal RNA
Rfam family: Bacterial small subunit ribosomal RNA
Source: RNAcentral